Durio zibethinus is the source of this 2851-nucleotide non-coding RNA. The record is from RefSeq and is a predicted model, not a curated record. Lineage: Eukaryota; Viridiplantae; Streptophyta; Magnoliopsida; Malvales; Malvaceae.
GUUAAUGUGCAAAAACUAGGUUGCUGACUCGCCAUAAAAAAAUGGGGAUGGACUGGAUGGUGCCAUUGAGGUUGCUUACCGCUUCCUAUCUGCACAAAUGGGGCAUAACCAUCUUAGAACGUGCUAUCCAAAAUCCUUGACAGAUAGGCUGAUGGGGAAAAAUAAUAAAAAAAUAGCUGAUAGCCAUGCACAGUACAGGUGUCCUUGAUAUCAAUUUGAAGCAUACAACAUUAAUGUCCAUCGGUGUCCUUUCCAUUAAGAUGCGAAAAAAAUCUCUAAGCAUGGGGUAGAGUGGUACUCAGAGCACAAGUAGAGAAGACAAGGGUUCAGAGAAGAUCAAAGAUCAACGAAUUUGGUUUGAUCAAAAUAACAGCUCCAGUAACCAUCACCCCCAACAGAUUGAAUUAGGUUAGAGUCAUGACAUGCAAGUAAGCUCCUUGGAAAUUUAUGUUUAAUAUCUUGGUCUUCUCUGAGCUACUCGGCACCAGAUUGGCCUCAGUUCUUCAAUUUAAUCCCAACGUUUUCCUUUCUCAUGGUGAUGAUGAUGAUGGCGAUCGACUUGUGUCCCCACAAGCAUGGUGAGUGUGCAUCAUCGAUACCUCAUGUUAAUUUAAUUGUUUUUUCAGUUAAUGCCCAUAAAAAACAAAUAUUACUGGUAGGAACUAGGGGCAUUUUCGUAAUUUUAUCACAAAGCAAUGGCAUUUUCGAAGCCUUUAUUAUAUAAAAGAGAGCGGAUUUAGCGACUCCGACGAAAAUCUGAUUCAUCAUUCAUGCAUGCAUAGAUAUAAAAAUAUAGGCUUCUCCGCCGCAUCGGAGUUGCAGUCACCGCCGCUUUUAUUUAAUUUUUUUUUUAUCAUUUUUAUAUGGCGUCGGAACGAUUACUUUUAUGUCAAACAAAAAAUAUGAAUUAGAACAAAAACGAAAAGACAGACAGGUCACAUUCUUCUCCGCCUCCUUGUUAGAGAACCCCAAACCAAAGCUCAGUUCAAAAAACCCAGAAGAGAAAAUCAAAGAAGUUGAGUUUUCUUUUUGUUUGAAAGUUUUGGAUUAUUUGCCCAAAUUAUGGGAUCUGCUUCAAUGGAACCUGCUCUUUUGGAUGAUAUAAUAUGUCGCUUAUUGGAGUUUAAGCAAGCGAGGCCAGCUAAGCAAGUGCAGCUGAUGGAAGGUGAGAUCCGUCAGCUUUGCACUGUUGCAAGAGGAAUCUUUCUUCAACAGCCUAAUCUUCUUGAACUUGAAGCUCCCAUCAAGAUCUGUGGUGACAUUCAUGGGCAGUAUGCUGAUCUUCUGCGGCUUUUUGAAUAUGGGGGUUUCCCUCCUAAUGCUAAUUAUUUAUUCCUGGGGGACUAUGUUGAUCGUGGCAAGCAGAGUCUAGAAACAAUAUGCCUUUUGCUAGCCUAUAAGAUCAAAUAUCCUGAGAACUUCUUUCUUUUGAGAGGGAAUCAUGAAUGUGCUUCUAUUAAUCGGAUUUAUGGAUUUUAUGAUGAAUGCAAACAAAGGUUCAAUGUGAGACUUUGGAGAACAUUUACUGAUUGUUUUAACUGUCUUCCAGUGGCUGCUCUAAUAGAUGACAAAAUAUUGUGCAUGCAUGGUGGCCUUUCCCCUGAUCUAACUAAUUUAGAUCAAAUUAGGAAUUUAACCCGUCCAACUGAUGUUCCAGAUUCUGGUUUGCUUUGUGAUUUACUUUGGUCAGAUCCUGGCAGGGAUAUCAAAGGCUGGGGUUUGAAUGAUCGAGGAGUCUCAUUCACCUUUGGCCCAGAUAGAGUCUCUGACUUCUUAAUGAAAAAUGACAUGGACCUUGUUUGCCGUGCCCAUCAGGUUGUUGAAGAUGGAUACGAGUUCUUUGCUGACAGACAGCUUGUUACAAUAUUUUCCGCUCCCAACUAUUGUGGCGAAUUUGAUAAUGCUGGUGCAAUGAUGAGUGUUGAUGAAAGCCUAAUGUGCUCUUUCCAAAUUCUUAAGCCUGCAGAUAAAAAGUCCAGGUUUAUUUGAGGGACAUGAUGACUGCUGUUUCUGUUCCCAUGUAGAAUGGCUAUUGGUUACGGUAAAUUUUUGUUGCCAUAAUUUCCUCUGAUUUGACUCUCUACAUGAAUCAAAAUGUUAAAAGGAAAAACAAUUUUGGGGCCAACUAUUAUCAUGGACAACCGAGUUAAGCUUGAUGGAUUCUAAGAGACAUGGUAUUUGUAAUUUGUGGAACUCUUUGAGACCUCAUGAGAGAAACAUUGUAAUUUAUAGAACUGUAAAUGUAGAGAAGUUACGUUCAAGAAACAGAAUGACUUAUUUGUCCUGUCUAGACACAGAUUUGAGUUAAAUUCAUCCUGUGGAGCGGCAUUGAAUUUUGACUUUGACCUUUGUGCUUUAAUUUUAUGCCUUCUUACUCUGAAGCCCUGAUUUUGUUACGUUGGUGUCAUGACUCACCCUGUUAUCACUUUCUUCUUCUUUGAAACUUUAACUAGUGAUAUGAGGAGAAACCCAGCAUUAAAGUAAUUACUGAUUCGGCAGUGAAGCAAAAGGGUCACUAUCUCAGUGAAGAAAAGCUUCCAUAGUUUACCCAAAUCCAAUUGUCAUUUGAGAAGAAACCUUCAAAGGUUGCUGGUAUGUGUUAUGCAAUAUGACCAUUUCCUCACCAUGUUAAGGGUACAGGUUUUCUGUUUAGAUUAUUUAUAACCAUAUGAAAUCAAAAGACAAUACAUGGUUGACAUUGAGCUCAACAUAUGUUUGACACGUGGUGUCUUUGAAUUUUUUUUGCCAUUUUUUUAGUACCAAGGGCAUUUCAGUGCUUUCCUUUAUUUAUUUAUUUUUUGCACCUAAGAAGCGAGGAGUGAGGGAGAAGAGUUGGUAAAAAGAAUGAGGG